Molecule: ribosomal RNA, 312 nt
Filed under: uncultured Hyphomicrobiales bacterium
Lineage: Bacteria; Pseudomonadati; Pseudomonadota; Alphaproteobacteria; Hyphomicrobiales
Description: bacterial SSU rRNA
Rfam family: Bacterial small subunit ribosomal RNA
Source: RNAcentral
UGGCUCAGAACGAACGCUGGCGGCAGGCUUAACACAUGCAAGUCGAGCGGAUGUAGCAAUACAUCAGCGGCAGACGGGUGAGUAACACGUGGGAACGUGCCCUUUGGUUCGGAACAACACAGGGAAACUUGUGCUAAUACCGGAUAAGCCCUUACGGGGAAAGAUUUAUCGCCGAAGGAUCGGCCCGCGUCUGAUUAGCUAGUUGGUGGGGUAAUGGCCCACCAAGGCGACGAUCAGUAGCUGGUCUGAGAGGAUGAUCAGCCACACUGGGACUGAGACACGGCCCAGACUCCUACGGGAGGCAGCAGUGGG